Rana temporaria (common frog) is the source of this 835-nucleotide long non-coding RNA. RefSeq lists it as uncharacterized. The record is from RefSeq and is a predicted model, not a curated record. The transcript is spliced from 3 exons. Lineage: Eukaryota; Metazoa; Chordata; Amphibia; Anura; Ranidae.
UGCACGUCAUUAGUGCGGGCUCCCACAUGAUGAGAGCAGGGCUUACCUGUCCCUCCCCUCUCCCCACUUGGAGGCAACGCCCCCUUUUCCACACUGACCCAUAGCAACGCAGGCUCCUUUACAGACCCCUCCCACCUUACUCCUCCCCCUCUCCUAUUUAAAAGCCAAGCAGCCCCACAAUGUCAGACAUUGCUGGAUGGCUGCAGCAGCUGUACACACUCUACACUGCUUGUGUCUUCUUCCCAUCUUCCGAUCCCUCUACUGACCUCUUUGGCCACUUUUUGUCAUUACAGGUAUGUCUCUAGCCUCAUAUAUAAAAUCUUGGUUCAGCUUUCUUUUUUGCGAUCCUUUUUUGCGUUCUUUUUCGUUUUUGUUGCCUGCGGCACCGUUGAUAUUAUCCUGUCCUCUUAUUUAUAUUUUGGACAGGUAAAAAUAUAUAUAUAUAUACAAUCAAUAAACUUUUACGCUGUGACACUUCGGGCCAAAGGUCUUGCUACGCUGUGAUUGAUAUUAGAUGCCAGUCCUCACUCCUCUCCUUACCAUCUGAGGCUUGCCAUGCGUCCCGAUUGCGAUGUCCUUUUAAGGGGUGUGCUGAGCCGUUGAAACUUCUCGGGUGAAAAGUUGUCUGUUACACUUUCUGACUCCACACAUACUUCGGUCCCUGAAGAAGGAAACCCGAAACGCGUUGGGCCCAGUAUUUAUAUUGUGGACUCUUCACCUCUUUUCCAAUACACCCUAUUAAUGUGUUGUUUUUAAACCUUUGUACUAUAUACGUUUACUGAACGUUGUUUGAUACCGUCCUGUUAUUAUUAAACUAUUAUAUAUUUUGUAUCUA